UGAACUCUAUACAACCUCUUCUUUUAAUAUGUCGAUGUUUGCAGGGGAAAUCUCUAAGAGGAGGACCUCAGAUGAUCCAGUUGAGCCUCGAUGGGAAAAGAUUGUAUGCAACAAACUCGCUCUUCAGUGCGUGGGACCGUCAGUUUUAUCCGGAACUCAUGGAUAAAGGAUCACACAUUAUUCAGAUUGAUGUUGAUACAGAGAAAGGUGGUCUAUCCAUAAACCCUGAUUUCUUUGUGGACUUUGGUGAUGAACCAGAUGGUCCGGCGCUUGCCCAUGAGAUGAGAUAUCCAGGUGGUGACUGCACUUCCGAUAUCUGGAUUUGAAUCUGCACCUAUGAAAGAGUAAUGCUGAAAUUUACUCGUUGAGUUUUGUAAAGUAUAAUAAACUAGUGAUACCUCCCGUGCUACGCAUGGAUCAGCUUCAAUGUCUUCCAAAUCGCACGAUCAUAAGAUUGUAAUGAUUAUAAAAAUAAAAUCGAAUGUAUCAGAUUGAAUAUUCUAAUAAAACCGAAUUUCAAUAUAAUUAAAAAAAUAUAUUUUUGUAUCAUAUGUAAUAUUUUAUACCAGAAAAGCUUGAAUCAUAUGUAUUAAUAGCUUGUAUCAGACCUAUGUAUUAAUAGAAACUAGUAUAUCCAUCCCGUGCUAUGCACGGACCAGCUUUUGUUUACAUUUAAACUGGGAUAAGACCUGCGCCUUGUGCAGAGAAAAAUAUUUAUUUAAAAACUUAUGUUUUCAUAUUGUAAAAUCUGAUGAUUUCUGAAUACAUGUGUUCUUGUUGUCAAAAUAUAUUUGGUAUUUAUGUUUUUCUCAAUAUGGAAUAAUUAACUAAUUAUAAACUAGAUUUUUCACCCGCAUAUCCGUGCGAGUAGAUUUUCAUUUUAUAAAUAUAUAACAGAUACCAUCGCAAAAUUUUCAAAGAUAUUAUUUAGAUUUUAGUGUUAUAUAUUGUGUAAAUCUAUAAUGUUAUUAGUUAUGUUUCUUAUUCGAUAUUAUUAAUGUAUAAUGAUUUGUUUUAUACAUUUUACUUUAUUAUUAAUUGUUAUUAUAUAUUAAUAUAUUUUCGAAUUUGGUAAAAUAAAUUCAUAGUAUGAAAUAAACAAACUGAGAAUGUCCUUCAUUUUUUUUCUAAUUUUUACAGACUGAAUACAACACAUUUUAAAAUUUUAUUUAGUUACUAUAGAAUUGAUAUUUUCUUAGCAUUAGAUAUAUUUCUAUGUUAUUUAUUUUAGUAUAUUGUGGGAUUUUAUAAGUAAAUAGAUUAUAAUAAUACUAUAUUAUUAAUUAUGAAAUCAAUCGUUGCAUUAAUUUUAAAAAUAUUUUAAAACUUUUUAAAGAUUUUUUUAGAUUUUUUCCAACAUAUUUUGUUAUAAGUAGAAAUAAAAUUUAAAUUUACAGUUAAAAUUUAUUUAUUAAUAUCUAUAUAAUUUAUAAGAUUUUUUAGAAAUGUUAUAUAUUAAAUAUAUUAACUUUAAUAAUCAAAUAGAUGUAAUUGAUGAAAUAGACCUAGUAUGAUUUUUUAUGGUAUUUCUUUUAAUAAAGAAGAUAUAGAAUAUAAUUAUAAAAUUUGAAAAAUAGCAUACCCUUUUAUUUUAUUUUAUUUUUAUAAUAAAAUCUUAUUUAAAUUAAUGUAUAAUAGUAUUUAUUAAUUACGAAAUUAAUCAAUAGUAUUAAUUUAAAUAAAAUAUUUUAAAUUUUUAGAAAGAUUUUGUUAGAUUUUUUCUUAACAUUUUGUUAUAACUAAAGAUAAAAUUUAAAUUUACAGUUAAAAUUGAUUUAUUAUUAAUAUCUUUAUAUAUUUAAUAGAUUAAUGUAAAUAAUUAAAUAAAUGUAAUUAAUGAAAUGUACCUAAUAAGGCUAGUAUAACUUUUUUUAUGGUAGAUAAAAAUAGUACUUCUCUUUUAAUAGAGAAGAUAUUCGGUACACAUAGGAAAAAUAUAGAAGUCCAAAUCAAAUAAUUAAAUUGUGAUAUCAUUGAUACUCCUAUAAUCAUGAGUUGUGAAAACAUUUGAUGGUAUUUCUGAUGGAAAACUCAACUGUAUAUAUAUAAUAGGCAUAUGUAGGUUUUCAGAUUGUUUGAAAAGUUAAAAUAAUUAGUAUUAAUUAUCUACAAACUGUAUUUUAACGUGAUACAUUGAACCAAUAUUUUUGUAAGUUUUCAAUAACUACCACAAACAUAUUUGGCAAGUUGUUUUCAAUGGUCGAAAUUAUAGAAUUUGUGAGAAAGUAUAUUAUUAUCUUAAAUUAAACUUACCAUAUAGAACUUCUUCAAAAUUUUGUACCAAGCUUAAAAAUUCGGUGGAAAAGUUUCUUAUUUGUUUAAACAGUCUGGUAUAAAAACAAUUAAUAUAAACUUAGCAAAAGAGCUAGAUUAUAAAAUUGUAUAUCACGAAAAUUUGGUUCAAAUUUUAGAAAUUUUCUUGUCUUCUAACGAUAAUAAUACCGGCAGUUUACGAUUGAUCCUCUUUCGGCUUAGUUGAAAUUAAAAAGAACAUUUAAGCGACUUCAAUUAUAGAUAAUCCGAAAUAAGUAGCUGUUUUCUAAUUAAACAUAGUGCAUUGACAAAUUUAAGAUUUAUAUAUGAUUGAAUUGUUUUUAUAUGUAUAUAAUUUUUGAUUGUUUAUAUAAUCAUCUAUAUGUUAGGACUAUACAUUUGGAUAUUUUCUUUUACUAACUUAUCAUUAAUUUUUUUUUAAUAUUUUCAAUUUUGAAGUUACACUAAUUUUCAGGAUAUUUAUAUCAGAUUUAUAUAUAUCAGAUCUUUACUUUUUUUUUGGACAACAUAAGAUGGAAAAUAAAAAUAUUAAAAAUUGGAUUAAGCUUAUAAUUUGAAGUAUAGUUUGGUUAUGGACCAUAUUAAGACAACAUAAAAUUUUGCAGCCCGACUUUUAUUAUACUUAAGACCCAAAUAUAGAAAGAUGAUAGUAUUAUUUGUUUGCAACCGAUAUUUUGUAUAGGAUUAAAGUUAGGUUAACAUGAUAUAUAUCAUUAACUACUACGAAAGGUCAUUAUUAAUGUUUUCUUAGAUUACGAAAAACAAUUAGGCAGGUGUCAAAGCUUUUUCUUAAUCUUCAAUAUAAAUUUCAUAAUUUAAGUUAUAAAUAAUUUCGUUGCAAAGAAAAAUAUUUGAUAUAUAAAUUUGUUUGGUAAUAAUAAAACAACUUAAUUUCUGUAUUAGUCUUUAUAUAAAUUUCUGUAGGUGAGGAAGACCUGAGAACCGAACAAUAUUUUUCUUAUUUUCUUUUAUUAACAAAACAAUUUUGAAUAGUUGCGUCUCUUUGCUAUUUUUUUUAUCAAAUCGUCUCUUUGCUAUUAAUAAAAAACAACACUUAAAAAAAUCAUUACUUUCCGAUUUAUAGCAAAAGCAUGCAACGCUUAAGCCAUAAUAUAUAGGAAACUUUGAUUUAAAUUGUUGUCCAAUUAAUACGCACUAAGAGAAUAUCUUACACUUUAAAAAAGUUAUUAUAUUGGAUCACAAUAUAAAUUAACCUUGAGCCAUUUAAAGAAAGUCUCAUUUAGUGAGAUCGCCGAGUAUUAAUUUAUUGAAAUCGCCGAGUAUUAAGUUUAUCAUAUAAUAUACAUUUAUAUUUGAAUUAAUAUAAGUUUUUCUAGCAAUUAGAUUUUGGGCUUACUAAUUUUUCAAUUGAUUCUUAUGCUACCAGGUAAGUCAAAUUGGCAUCUUAAUUAAGUGACACCUAAGCAAAACUCUAUUUUAAUUAAUACAAAUUUAAAGUUACAAUUUUUAAAAUGUUUCUCUAUGGAGGAUUACUUACUAUGUUGCAUGGAAACUCGGUUGAAUGUACGUUUCACGUUUUGGAAACAUUUCGGAAUCAGAAUCUCUCGGAAACUCGCGGAAACGCAUUGGAAACUCGUUUCUUAAAAAUCUCAGUUUGGAAACUUAGUGGAAACUUGCGUUUCUAUUUUGAAAACUCGCAUUUCUGUUAUGGAAACGCUAGAACUUUCCAAUUGGUUAUGAUUUGCGGUUAUAAUUUUUAUUUUAGUUAAACUAUUUAAUAUUUAAAUAAUGAGUUUUGUUAUUUUGAAUUUUUAUAUGAUUUUGAUAUUUAAUGAUGACUUAUUUUUUUGAUAUGAUUAAAUAGAAUGGCUAUUUGUUUAUUUGUAUUCUAAGAUAUACUACACAUAAUAAAAAUGAAUGUAAAUAUUAAUCAGUUACAUAUAUAUAUAUAUAUAUAUAUAUAUAUAUAUAUAUAUAUUUAUAGACGUUUCUAAAACGUUUCCAAAGCAAAAAAAAUCAAAAAUCACGUUUCCACGUUUCGAAACGUUUCGUUUCCACCUAUCCGUUUCCGUUUCCAUGCAACCUAGAUUACUUAUAUAAAAAUGGCAAUUUACACGACAAAUUUAUAGAAAAUCGCAAUUCACAUGUCAUUUAAUUAUAGAAACUCACAGGAAGACAGUCGAUAGCCUAUAUAUUUAUGUUUGAUAUCAGUAAAGGUAUAUUAAGUUGUUACCAAAAACCUUCAUAGGAUCACAUCCCCUAUAUAUUUUCUGUAUAAGACUUUCUAAAUUGCAUUGUUCGGUAUAAGACUAUAUUAAUUUGCUAUUGAUUAUGACAUAAAUUGUUUCCAAAAACAGAGAAAAUUUUCUCUUAGCAAGUAAGUAGUUUGGCUUGAGGAACACGCAGAAUAUAUAUGAAUUUUUUUUUAUCAACAGAAUAUACGUAUAUGACUUUAAUUCAGUUUAUUCUAUUAAUUAAGAACCUAAAAUAUCUAAAAUAAUUGAUAACCAAACAGAAUCCAAAUUAGUGAAUUACAGUGUAUAACCAACACAAGAAUGUUACCAAACCAAAAUCAUAUAUUUAUCUGAUCUAUUAUGCAACAAACUAACGAUCCACGAAGUUAUCUGUUAUCCCUUAUGUACCAUACUAACAUUAACUUAUGCUUGAUGUUGAACAUGUGUUAGCUUUCCUCUCAUGAGUUUGAAUUUGUAGAGGUUUUGUAAUCUCUACUAAGAUAUAACUCAAAAUAUAAGUAUAUGAACCUGACUCACAUCAGAUUGUCCAUGUUUAUGUUUAUAUGGUGAUUAGUUCUCAAACAAUUGGUUAUAUCUUCAUGUUAGAUAGAUUAUAAAAAAAAUCCUAAUCCGAAAUCAACCUAGACUUCAUGUGAGUUAAUUGGUGUGUCAAGACUCUCUUAUAUUAGGACCAAAUCAGAGCCAAGACUCUCUCAUAUUAGGACCCACGAUUUGUAUAUAUAAGCUUUGUAAUAUUGAACAUGUUAUUGGAAUCUUUUUCAUAUAUAUGCCAUAAGAGUUUUUCCUUUUUCAUUAGUGUAUUUGUGAGUUUGAAAUUGGGAGUGAAAGCUUUGAGUAUUGAACAUGUUCUUGGGUCUUUGUUCAUAUAGAUGCCAUAAGACUUUUUAUUUUUCGUUAGUGUUUUCGUAAAUUUCAAUUUGGGAGUGCAAGCUUUGUAUACAUACAUGUUCUUGAUAUCUUUGUUCAUAUUGACAUGAUAAAACGUUUUCCUUGUUCAUUAGUAUAUUGAACAAAUCAUUGUAUAAAAAAAAAACCGAUAUCAUGUAAACGGUCGAAGUCUUGAUUUCGGUUUGAAGUGAUCAAGAGAGAAGAAAAAUAUUUUAAAUCAUCAAUAUACGGCUCAGUAUAGAACUUACUACAGAGGGCUCGGUUAAUUGAUUAUUAGAAACAUUUUAAUGUAAAGGUGGUCGUAUGAUUAGGCCAUAGUGGCAUUUUUUUGUAAAUUCUCUAGCAAUUGGAUUUGGACAAACAUAUUUUUCAAUUGAUUUCUAGGCUGACACGUAAGCAAAAUUAACAGCUUAAUUAACUGACACAUAAGCAAAGAGGUUUUUUAAUUAGUACAAAAUACAGGUUAUAACUUUUUAAAUGUUCUUCUAUUAAUAUAUAGGGGAUUAUUUUGUUUUAAUCAAAUGAUAGUGUUUUAUUUAUUUUUAAUAUCAAAACUAAAUACUAUUUUAGUCACAUUUGGUAGCUGGAUUAAAUGGAGACCAGAAAUUAGGCGUGUAACAUUUGAAGCAAAACAUUUUGAAGGGUAAAACAAUUACGGUUUACAAAAAAAAACAAUUAUUAUGAGUUUUCGAAAAAGCGAUACAUCUAUGGAAGCAACAAUUUCGUUGAUAACCCUUUUUUCAAAAAAAAAAACAUGUGCAUUGAACUUACAUUUUGGGUUUCUUCUCCAUAGCUUCUUUCUUUAGUCAUCACUAACCUUGAAAUUCAAGGGUAAAACAAAGACAGAUGUAUAAUUGUUAGUUGAGUAUAUUCUGUUAUAGAAAACAUAUUUGUAAAAAAAAACCGAUUAGUAAAUAUUCCAUUUGUAUCUGCUAUAUAUUACCUAAAAUUGCUGACAAAAUUCUGAUAUUUUUUCUUGUUUGAAAAAAGCUUUGAAACUGGAGUAUAUUUAAGUACCAUCUUCAACCUCAAUCAUGCCUAAAGAAUUAAAAAAAUGAGAGAACACUGAAUUGAAAAUGAAAGCAAAUUAAAUCUGAAAUAAAAACUUGUAUAGACCCUUUACUACACUCAAAACACAAGAAGAAAAAGAUGUAGAAGAAUUAGAAACGAUGGUAGAGAAAGACAUGGUAGGGAGAAGAAAUAAGUUUUUUGAAUUUAUAAAAGAGUUAAUUGGUGUUAAAAAAACAGAGGGAGUGAUUGGUUGGGUUGUAGGAAGUGACUUUAGCUUUAAUUUCCAUCUACAACCUUAAAUACUACCAAUCAUGUUUUAUUUUAGUUUUUAAAGCUACAACAAAAAAACUAAAGCUACAGCAAAAACAUACAAAAAAUGGUUGUAAAAAUCUUAUUUUCUAAGGCCCAACCAAUCACCUCUUCUAGUUAAACAGUUUGAAUCGUGACAUGAUCUUUAAUUAUAAAUAACAGUUCUUUUAAGAAAUUUGAACGUGUUGAUAAAAAAAAGAACGUGUUGACAUUGACAUGAAAUUUUUUAGGGAUUCAGUUCUUUUUUACCAAAGAAUUGAAAAUAAAAAAAAAUUAAUUGAAUUUAAAUUUUCUAAAAGCACAAUUUCCAUGUGUCAGAUUUUUAUUAGGUGAAUGACUUGUACUUUUUUUUUUUUUUUUUUUUGAUGAAAUGUUAAAUUUAUUGAUCAUCAUGGAAAAGAAUAGUUAUGUACAAAAUGAAUCUAGAAUUUCAAAAAACUUUGCUCUUUGCCUCUAUCCUUACCCAAUAUGGGCCUCAAACCAUCGCUGCAUCAGUCUCGUUAAUCCUCUCUUCUCAUAGUAUCGAGUUGACAUAAUCCUCUGUUUUAUAGUCUUCUCUAUCACCUUGGCAAGCUGGUUUGCUGGUCUACUUCGCUGUGUGUGCCGUCUCUCGUUACGUUCCCGCCAAAUGUAAUAUAUAGUAACUUGUAAUGCUAGCCUUAGGAGGAUAGAAACAAGUCUGUCAUGUGCUGAGUGGAGAAUACGAGCCAAAAUUUCGUUCCAGUCAGGCGAUGGCGCCGGUCGGAGUAAAGAUCCAAUAAUCUGCAACCAUAAACCAUAUGUAUAUGGGCAAGCAAAAAACAAAUGGUCUCUUGAUUCCUCUGGUUCUCCACAGAAAGUGCAACCUUGUAUUACUCCCCAAGUUCGCAUUCUAGAUCCAGUAGAGAGACGAUCUUUAACAGCUAGCCAGGUUAUAAAAGCAUAUCGCGGAUUACUUGUACUUUAGUAUAUAAAGGAUUACUCACGCUCUCUUGUUUUAAUUCCCUUUAAAAUUUAUUUUAUAAAAAAAAAUAUUUUAUCAGUUUAUGUUUAACAGAAGCUUGAAUCAUAGUUCCUUGCUAUAUAACAAUCGUAUACAAAGCUGAAUUUCAUCUAUUCAAACAUAUUUUAGAUACUGUAUAAUUUAAAAUAUAAAUGUUUUUACCUUUUUCCAAGAAAAGUUCAGGAUAAUUUUCCAAGUUGAAAAUAACUUCAUGUUUCUGAUAUUAAUACUGGAACAAAGCUCUGAUUUUCUACCAUUUAUAUUAUGAUAAAACCCUCUACUUGAAUCAUGCAUAUAGAAUCAUAAAAAAUUGUUUCAGAAGAAAAGAGAAUAGAAGAAGAAGAAAGAGAGAAAACAACUAUAGAAAAUAAUUGUUGUUUGAAUGUUAUGUAAGAGAAAAAAACAGUUUAAAGUUAAUGAAUUAAUAUUGGAGCGUGAUGGAUGGUGCCAUGAGAAAAAAUAGGGAUUUGAAAUUUGCAGAUACGAAAAUAUUUGAAUUAGAAAACCGUGGCUUAAUUUUUUUUUCUUAGGUUUUAUAAAAAAAUAAAAAUUACAUGUGUCAAAAUCUAAUUGCUCUAGUGACUUGUGCUUUAGUAUAUAAGAGAUAUAAAUGGUGGCUAGAUUCGUGUUUCGAUCAAGACAAUGAAAAGUUGUUCUACAUUUUCAUGCCUUGAUAUGUUAUUAUAAAACAUUAAAAAUUUCCAUAAAAAUACCCAAACUAAAUUUCAUUAAACUUUUUAAUAUCCAAAAUUUUUUGCUACCAUUUAAUACUCCAAAUAAUUAAAAUUAAUACUAUUAAAAGGUAAGGAAUCCUAAAAAAUCUACUUAUACAAGGUUGUUGCACCUAUUUAUUUUUUAGUCCAACCUAUUAUAUACAACUAAAUAUUAUUAACUAUUCCCUUAUUAUAUAGCAACCAAAUAAUAUCUUCUAACAUUUAAAUAAAUCUCAUUCACUUUAAUAAGAUCAUGACUAUCAAUUUAACAUAUAUAUAUAUUUGAUAUAAACGGUACCAAAAUUUCAAUACGUAGAGGUCAUUGUCAUAUAUGUCAUCCUCCUCCAUUAGAUCAAAAUUUUCUUACGAGAUCAACUUUUGAAAUAUAAAUGAGCCAUGUCCUAUUACAUAAUUGAUCAAACCUGGAGAGUAUUUUUCACCCAAAAUUUUAUAAAACGAAUCAAUGAAUUUUGCUAGGUCUGGGGUUUUUGGACCUAAUUAGGUAUUUAGAAAAAAAUUAUUUGGGUUUGGAUCGGUUUCGUUCAGAUCUGAAUGGUUUCGACUCCAUAAUUCAAAUACCUAUUAAAUAUAUGUUAUUUUUGUAUGUAACGGGUAUGGAUCCGUUCAGAUAUUUAGGACUCAAAUAAAACUCGAUAAACAUAAAUAUACUCGAAACACGAAAAAUAUCCAAAAUCUAAACAAAUACCUGAAAAUCAGAAAAUACUCAAAAGACCUAAAAUUGUACUUGAAAUCUGACCCGAAGAACCAAAAAUACCCAAAAUUUUAUAUGAAUACCCAAAUAUAUUUUUAAAAUUUGAUUUUGUACUCGAAAUCCAAAACUAUAACCGGAAAUUCAAACCAAAACUCAAAAAUAUAUGUAUACCAAAAAAAUAUCCAAAAUACACAAAUAUAUAUAAUUUACACAAACAUUUUGGAUACUUUGGCUCCCAAACGGGUUUCGGGUAGGUCUCAGACGCGAACAGAGACCUACAUUUCCAAAAAAAUACGUAUUUUUCUCUGGACCGACACGAACCGAACCAAAAUUUUCGAGUUGAUUUUGGUUUGGGUUUUCGGGGUCCAUGUAAAAUACCCAUGCAUAAGAGAGAAUUACAUAAGAUUUAUACUGAAUUCCAAAUAAAGUAAUUCAUGAAUUAUAUAAUAUUUUUUAAAAAUUAUUUCUUUUAUAUAAUUUGACUUUGUAACAUAAUAAUAUAAAAUAAUCUCACAAUACUAAUUCAUAUCAAAAUUUGUUAUAACAAAAGAACCCGCGCUUAUCUAGUUUUCAUUUUAAUACACAAAAUUUUAAAAUUAUGCCCCUUUUAAUAUACAAAACUUGUUUCAUUGAAAAUACUAAUAAGUUUUAAACAAAAUCUAAGAAAAAAUAAAAUUUUCUAAUUUUAUUUAAAAAUUUAAGAAAAAGGUAAACAAUUAGGGAAAUUUUUUUAUAAUUUAAUUUUGAAGGAAAAUAAAUAAAGUUGUUUUCUGUUUCAGAAAACAAACUAAAUUCAAUAUUUAAAACUUAAAACUUUUAUUAAAAAAUUGAAGAUUAUACAAAAUUAAGUUACUUUUAUUUCACAAACAAAAAAUAAAAUUUGAAUUUUUUGAGAUUAUUUUUUUAAAUUUUAGAGAUUUUUUGAAUUCGUUUGAAAUCUAUUAAUAUAUUUAAUUAAAAUGAAAAAAAGUUUGGGUAUUAAUAUGGGCAUAUGUUUAAAAGUUUGUAUAUUAAAAUGAGCAAAAUAAUUAGUUGGUUUAUUAAACUGGGUAACGAAACAGUUUGGCUAUUAAAAAAUUUAACAAAAUUUAGUUGGAAUAUUUUUGGAAUUUUCCCUAUUUAUAAUUAUGUCCAUGCCUUUGAGUUUUGAGCAAUUCUGUAACAUCCGCCGUUCGUUAGAAUGACAUUCAGCCAUAACAAAAAUUUCUUUAUGGAUCAGCACUAGCUUUUUUAGCCAAAAUGAACCGUCUUAUAUUUAAACUUAACUCCAAUAGAAAACCGAAGUCUUAAAUAUCUUAAACGAAACUUGAAGAAAACAAACAUCCAUUUUUUCAAAAGUUGGUACCACCCAAGACUUUUGCUCUUGCAUAUUUUUCAUAAGUACCUGCAAAAAUGGAGGGUGAAUAUUGGGAUUAUUUAGUGACGGCAUUCUAAAAACCUACGGACUCAUGUCAAGACAAAUAAUACAACAAGCAUAAUUAUAAACUAAUAUCACUUACCCAGAGUCGGUCCUAGAAAAUAUGUGGCUAGAAACAAAAGUGAAAUUAUUGAAACUUAAGUCGGGUUUUGCUAGACCGCAUGAGCGUCGACCAAUACACCAGGAGUAUAGAUCAACACUACUUCCAAUUAUCAACUCUGACUUCAGCACUUAGGGUUUUCUUCACUUCAAGCUCCAAAUGGCUCCAAAACCUCCAUAAUACUCCAAAACGUACAUAAACCCAAAAAGAUCUUAAAACAUAUACGAAAAAACAUAAAGACUCUAUAAAUGAACGUAUACCAUGGUUAAAACCGGUAAAAAGUGAGGUAUAUCAACUCUCACAUACUUACCCUUUGCUUGCCCUCAAACAAAACUAGAAUAAACUUGUGGAAAAAGUUUGAAAACACAUAGGCUCACCUUUCUUUUAUUAGACAGAAAGUGUCUCACAUCGGUAGUUGGAAGGGAUCCUAAGUAAUAUAUAAGAUAGAUGGGCCACUCCACUUAUUACCAAUUGGUUUUAAGUUGGAAGUCCAUCUAGCUUAGCAUGGUAUCAGAGCCCAAUCCACGAAGUCCAACCCGAUCCAUCGAUCUGGCCCAAAAUUGGUCCAUCGAUCCUCGCCCGAGCAUUCUGAGAUUGACACUCAAAGAGCCAUCAUCUCGAAGGGGCGUAUUAGAUACAAAGUGUCCCACAUCGGUAGUUAGAAGAGAUCCUAAGUAAUAUAUAAGAUAGAUGGGCGACUCCACUUAUUACCAAUUGGUUUUACCACUCUGUUGGUUGUUGGAAUAUGAUUUCUGUUGGUAGUUGUUGUACUGAAAGUUGGGCUCUUUUUUGUACCAGCUACCAUUGUUGUUAAUGAAACACAGCUCUUCUUGACCUUCCAAACCCUUAACCUCAUAGACAACAGGUGGUGUCUCUUGGUUUGGGUUACCAACAAAGUUCAUCUGCUCUUGGGUGGAUUUAUCAGCAAUGAGUAUGUCUAUCUUAUCCUGUAGAGCCUUUAACUCCUUCCUCGGCUGCUUGUCAUAUGUUCUACUGCCUCUGUCGUGGUCUCCACUGUAGACUGCGUCACUCUUUACCAUGUUGUCAACCAGCUCCUCUGCAUCUUCUUCAGUUCUUCCCAAGAAGAACCCAUUGCUAGCUGUAUCUAAUCUGGCUCUGUACUUAGGAAGAGCACCCAUGUAGAAUGUGCUUAGCAAGCUUUCCUUAGAGAAACCAUGGUGUGGGCAUUGAGCUUGGUAGCCCUUGAAUCUCUCCCAGGCUUCACUGAAUCCUUCCAAGUUCUUCUGUUGAAAGCUGGAAAUCUCAUUUCUUAGUUUAGCAGUUCUUGAAGUAGAGAAAAACUUCUCCAAAAAUACUUUCUUGCAGUCAUCCCAGGUGGUGAUUGAGUCGCUGGGUAGAGACUUCUCCUACUGACGUGCCUUAUCCCCCAAAGAGAAAGGGAAUAGCUUGAGCUUUAAGGCAUCCUCGGACACACCAUUAGUUUUUGACAACCCACAGUAGCUGUCGAACCUGUCCAAGUGAUCAAACGGGUCCUCUACCGCCAAGCCAUGAUACUUGUUGUUCUCGAUCACGUUGAGGAGUCCUUAUUUGAUCUCAAAGUUGUUGGCUGCCACAGCAGGUGCUCGGAUUUCUAAUAUAUGACCAUGAAUGUUGGGGCGGUCAUAAGUGCCAAUGGGUCAAGCUGCUCGCUGUGGGUGUUGUGGAACGUUGUUAGCUCUAUUGGCGUUCGCAUCAUUUUGAGGUUGGUCUCCCAUAUCAGUAUCCAAUCUCUGCAAGUGAGCAUGUUGCUCUUCUUCUCUUCUCUUUCUAGCACACUCUCUCUCUAAAGCUCUGAUGUCUGCAACUCUUGGAACUAGGUUUGAUGGACCCCUGCUCCUCAAGUUCGUACACCUGAAAGUUAAAGGGAGGUGAAGAAGGAGAAUCAGUAACAAAAGAAAAUAAAAAUGACUUAGUCUCAAGCAAGUGACUGAAUCUCAAUGUUCAAAUCUACUCAGAAUUUGGCAACGGCACCAAUUUGAUGUUAGGAGUUUUCAAGGCUGGUAAGACAAAUGAUGUAGUAUAAAUUGUCGAACCAAUUCUAAGGGAUUUCAAAGCACUGAGAAUGCAAGUACUUACUUAAUCUAAGUGCAACCGAAGAUUUAAAAGAUUUCUAAACUAGUGAUUAAUGCAAAUGCAGUUGCAGAAUAAUAAAAGCGAUAAAUGAAGUAACUUUCUUUACUAAGGGAAGAGAUAACUCAUGGACAUAGGGAUUAGAGCUUGGGUGAUCAAGUUUUGAACAAAGGAUGGCAAACGAUCAAUCAAACUAUCAACCUUAAGCUUAGACACAAUUCUAAACAAGCUCUAUGUCUAGAUGAAUGUUCAUUUACUAACACAUUUCAAACAUCAAAUAUCUUUGGUUGAAUAAUAUAAAAGCAAUCAUUACUAACAAGUCUAAUGGCUAUCUUAGCACCUCUAACAACAAAUGUCUUUGGCAAAGUAUGUUAAAAGCUUAGAAGAGUUGUCUCAGGCAUUUCAUCAAACACCUUUUGGGUGGAAAAUGCCUAAAGAUCAACUUUUGAGAGGCCAACUCAGAAGAUGCAUUAUGAAUACGCUACUAGCAAGGAUUAAGAAUGAUCACUAAAACAUCCUAGGUCUAACCUAAUCACCCUUAAUCUCCCUAACCCAUGAAUUCAAAAGGUGAUUACUCACUAAUCUCCAUGAUUCCUCUUAAACCCAUAUUGAAUUUCAGAUUAAUCAUGUAGAGAAAUGCAGAAAAUCAAUAUGAAAACAACAUGAUUGCAAUAACAAAAUGAUCAACUGAUUCAAGGAGAAGAACUUUCCAAGAGGUUUUUGGUGGUUUUUCUUAAGAUAAAAGAUUAUCUGCCUCCAAUGGCUUACAAAAGGUACUUAAACAUAGGUUUAGAAAGUGUAAAACGUGCAUAACAAAAUGACCAAAAGGCCCUUAAUUAAUCAUAAGUUCAACCAAAUAGACGACGCGCAGUGACUUUGGGUGGUCGCUCCAACACGUCGCUCGGGGAUUCGGGAGCGACCUGGGGUGGUCGCUCUGGCAGGUCGCUCCGGGUCCAUUUUUUGUAUCCCCAGAUGAUAAAAGGGCGAGCGACUUCGUGGCGUCGCUCCGGUAAGGUCGCUCUGAGAGGUAAGGCACAACGACUUCAUGGCGUCGCUCCGGUAAGGUCGCUCUCAUGCACUGCUCGUCCAAUGAUCACCUUUAUUACCUCUUUUGAGCUCCAAAUGUCUCCAAGAACUCCAUGUGGUACUUCAAUACCUAAUAAAGACUCAUGUAUGCAAAAUAAAACCUAAACAUGGCUAAAUCCUAGUCUAUAUGAUCAAAAUGCACAUGGGUGAAUGGAUAAAACAAUGGAAAUAUGCAAUAUAUCAAAAGACGAGUGAGUGUUGUACCUGAGUAGGAGUGGCGAUCGUCAUAAUUAAGUGCCCAUUGAUACUUUGCGUGAUAACGGGUGGUGUGGACCGACACCUUGUGAUUCAUAAUGGCAAUGUCCAACAAUGAUCAGGGCCUUCGGGCGAUUUGCUAGAGCGAAGGGGCAAUGUCCUGUUGAUGUUCGGUGAGGCUCGCCUUCGGAGCAGAGCACGAAGAGCUUAAUGUGCUGGGAGAUAUGGGGAAGAUGCAUAGCACAUGGUGAUUGAGGAGAUUUGGAUGGUGUGGGACAGUUUCCAGAGGUGGAGAGUUGGUCGACGGUUGAGGAGCAAGAGGCGAUACAGAGAACCCCAAAGAAACCGGCUCUUCCGGCAAGACUCACAGAUCUGAAGCUUGGGAAGGGUAAACCAUUCCGGCGAGGGUACAAUAGGUGAGCAACAUGAGAGGCGUCGGAUCUGGAUUCCGAACUGGUGGAAAUGCAUUACGACCGCAGCGACGAGACGGCUCCUCGUUACAAUAUUCAAUUUCAUAUUUAUUUUGAUAUGAUAUCUAAAUAAAAGUGUUUAAAAUUUUAAAAACUACCUUUAAUACUCAAUUAUAUAUAAAUAAAUAUUAAUUUCUUAUGUUUUUCUUUUAAAUUUUAUUUCAGGUAUAUCCGAACCGAAAUGAUAUAAUCCGAAUAUGAAUGACAUAUAGUUACUUUAUGGGUUUAAAGAAGUAAUACAAAUCAGAACUAAAAUUGUCGGGUUAUAUCCAAACCCGGCUCGUACGAAGAAGAACUAGGAUGUGCAACAAAUUAGAACCGAACACAAAAUAUCUGAUCCAAACAUCAAUGGGUAUCCAAACGCCUAUGUCUAGAUACAAAUCUCGGGUGAUUUCACUACAAGAAAAAUGGGCUUUACUAGCGGAUGAAAAAAGUUAUCUAACGAUUUAACAGCGGUUUAAGGAACGCUGUAUCAUCGCCCGUCAUAGUAGGUAUGACACAUUAGAUAAAACUUUUUCGCGGUGCUAUCGUUUCUUCGGAAUCGAUAGCGCUUUUGUAUUUGCAAUAGUAACCUAUUUAAUAGCGCGUCAUUAAUGUUAUUAGUUAUAUUAUUAACAGCGUUUUCGAGAAGUUAUUUUUAAUUCAUAUAUAGCAAUUAAUAGUUCCUGCUAUAUAUAUUAUUUUGAAAUCAUAGCAGCUAAUAUUGAUGCUAUUAUAUAGCAUAUUUAAAUAAUUAUAAUAUUUAUAUAUUUCAUUUUAUAAUUUAUAUAUAUUUAUUUUUAUAUAGACUCGAUUUUUUUUUGUCAGACAUUAUAUUAUGAAACAUAAACUUCAAAGAUUCAACAUUAAAACAUUCUUGUCAAAUAUUACAUAAUAGUAUAACAAGUUCAAAGUGUGCUGCAACUAGCAUAAUAGCAUAACAAGUUCAAAAGCAACAGAUCUUUCUUGCAAUAAAACAAGCUUGUCAUUUGGCCAAGCCACCGUGCUUCCAACUGCAUCACCAAUGUAUUCAAUUUCUGAGUUUGGCAUCCACACUCGUGCCCCAUCGUACUCGGAAACCUCUACCCAAACCUUAGAAGCAUUGGGACCUAAAGGGACGAAAUGCACCUUCUCUGCUGGAUCAGUUGAGAACACACGACCUAAAGCCACUCUGUGUCCAGAGUUAUUACAGUCCAAGAGACCGCACUUCUGUUUACCACCUUUGCUGCUACAACCACUGCUGUUACUACCACUCUACAUCAAAAGACAGUAACAAAGACAAUCAACACAAUCAUCGUUGAAUCCAACUAUCAUCUAAACAGAAGUUCAUACACCAACAAGAAUCACACUACUUUAGUUAAGUAAUAAAUAAGAUGUUUCAGAAACAUACCUGAAUGGAAUUCUUGUUUGAUUCUUUUGGUGAAUCUUCAUCAGGUAGUAGUAUCUUAUCGAUAGGCCAUGCAAUUUUCCCAUGUAGGGCAUCACCCAUCUUGGUCAUUUCACGAGUAGGUCUCCAAAUAAAAGCAUCAGAUUUCACAACCAAAUCCACUCUAAGAAUUGCAGCAUUCGGUCCUAGCAGUACUUGGUUCACUAGUUCAACAGGAUCAGUCGACAACAAUACACACUCAGCAAUUAAUUCUUCUUCUGAUUUCCAGUAGUCAAAGAUUUGAACUUUUCCAAAAGACGCAUCAGUAGGCUGAAUCAUUAAAAAAAAAAAAAUUCAGUAGUCAUGUAUUCAAUGUAUAUUAGGGAAGAUCUUAACAAUAUAUAAUUACCUCUGAUCCGUUGAUGUUACCAUUGCUUGAUAAGUCAAUAUCAUCGUCCAGGAUUAUCUUAUAAGCUGGCCAUGCAAUUUUCACUCCAACCGCCUGAGCAAGCCUAGCACAAGUUGCUGUAGGUCUCCAUAUAGAUGCUGUUUCUACUGAGACAGACUUCACUACUACAGCAGCCGCAUUUGGACCCAAUGGAAUUCGACCAAUCUUAUAAUAGGGUUCACUAGAGUGGUAUUCUCCUUCAGCAACAACGACAUCAUCAUUGGAAACCCAAUCAAGUAGUUGGCACCUUAUUCCUCCCUUGCUAAUAUCACUUACUUCAUAGCUAGAACGAUAAUCGUUUUUUUUCUAACACAGACAGAAAUAAACAAGAUUCUUAAAACCAGAUAGCACUUAAAAGGCUAUAUAGUCAAAAAUCUAUUGUAAGGAACUUACCUUUUGGCCGGCUAAGUCUUUGACCACAUUUUGCAAAUCUUCAAUCUUGUUGAUUAGUUCUGCUUGUGUAUCUUGAAGCUUCUGAACAUGGGAGUCUCUAGCAUGUAAGAAUGCCAACUUGGUUGCAGUAACCCCUCUCCCCAUCCCCCUAAUUCUUCCUGGUUUAUCCUUUCCUAGCACCUGAGUGACAGCAUCUUCACCGACAUUAUCUGAACUUGACCCCAUUUCACUGUCAAUUUUCUUAAUCUUCUCCUGCAUUAACAUAUAUAACGACUGUUGUAAAGUGUCCUCAUACUAACAAACUUGCAAGUAAAUUUAAAUCUACGAAAUAAAAUCAUCUUAGUAUUGUUUCUGCAAAUUCUUGACUCACAGGUCUUCCAUCAGAAUGCGUGUGACCAGCGACCCAAACCUUUGUUCUAGUUACCUUUCUAGGAUCACUACUGUUUUUCCUCUACAAUUUAUAUGAAUUUGUUGUCAGCAAUUGAAGUUAUUUCUAAUUCCAAAGGUUUGGAAAAUACAAACAUACCAUCUCAUUGCAAGUCGAAUCAUCCCUUUACGACUAGUGGUAUGAGGAAUUUGUCCCUUCCUGAGUUCCUUGUAUUUAUCACUUUGUUCCUAAACAAGCACAUUACAAUUUUAAUCAAUUAAUAUUAAUAUACACAGACUCUCAUCAAUCCACAUUUUAUAUUACCUUAAAAGCUGUGGUACAUCUUCCUUUAACCCAAUUAUUCCACGCAGUCGCAGAUUGUAUGUUGCUGGGCUUAAUUAUCUGUAGUUGAGCCUUGUUUUUGGUAGCUCUGACUUUCGAAGACAAUCUGGAUUUAAAGGCUCUCCACAAACAACCCAUCUGCUUAAAAACAACAUCUUUUUGCCAUUCUUCUUUCAAGUUGAAUCUUCCCUGUUAAGAUUUUGAAGUUAGUAAAAGGCUUACUACAUUAAUCAGAUAUGAAAGAGUUUGAAUAACUUAACCUGAAUUUCCUCCCACAAAGCGUCUUUUGUUUUCUCAUCGAGAUGUCUCCAGUCAUCUAGAAGUACUGGGACAUGCUCUCUCACGAGAGGACCUAGGAAAGAUGAGAGUGUAACUGACCCACGACCAACAUGCUCACCUAGAGCAUUAAACUCCAUGUCAACCUUGUCCUCUAUAUGCUUAGCUACUUUGCGCAUUUUUGUUGGCCCUCUAGUCUUCUUGACUGUGUUAUCGGACUGCUCUGUCUGUGUCUGUCUUUGUGGCUCCGACUGAUUACUGAAUUGUUCUUGUUGUGAUGGUGGUUGUGUUUCAUCGUCGUCAUCUUCGUUAACAUCUCUCUCUGCUUGUGUAACAUCUUCAGGAUCCACACCUUCAUCUUCUGUCUCUGGGGUAGCAUCUUGAACUCCCAUAUCUUCAGGUCCAGUUUCAUCGACUUUUUCAGGUUCUGUUUCUUCCACUUCCUGAUGAUCUGCUUCUUCUUCUGAAUGAUAGUCUUCGUCCAGGGUUGGGAUCGUAGCAUUUUUCUUGGGUUUUUUCUUAACUAAAGAAACCUCAGGACUAACAUCAAGACCUGCUUGGCGUUUACUGCGAUGGCACUUCCCUGUAACAGCUUUGGAAUUCAUUGCACCAAAUAACCUGAAAGAAAAACAAACUCAUCAUUAUUCAUAUAUUAGUUGACCCUCACAGUCAUUCCUAACACAGAAACUCUCGUCAUCGGAUGAUUGAUCUCCCAUAUCUUCUUCAGGCUGGACUGCUAACGUUGCAGAACAAAUCUCUUCUUCUGUCUCUAACUCAUGAUACCCUCGUGGUGGUGCUCUCAUCACUACAUACCAAGGAGAGCUAUCUUCCUCUCUAGAAUAGAACACUUGUUUAGCUUGCGCAGGCAUAAUGUACGGAUCGUUUGCAAAUGUUGACUGGUUCAUAUGGAGAUUCACUAGUGUGAAACCGUCUUCCUCUUUAAGUCCUCUACCUUUAUGAGCCCAACUGCACCUAAACAAAGGCACUUGAAACAUGUGAUAGUCAAGCAAAAUGAUCUUCUUUAUCACGCCAUAGUAUGUUACUAUAUCAGCCUGUUGCCUCGAAUCUUUGGCACUAGCUCUGCACAUCGAAAAGGCUUCAUAUGCUACUCCACUGUUCUGUGUCUUCCUCUGCAUAUCGUCUGUAUGGUAUCGAUAGCCAUUAACUACAAAUCCCCUGUAGGUGUGAGCAAUAUUUCUUGGUCCAAAAGCAAGCCAUCUCAGCCUUUGCGAAUGGUCCUUGGAGUUAUUUGGUAUCUGAAAAGGAAACAUAUCAGAACAUAUACAUACAGAAUUAUUAAUACAAAAAAAAUAUUAAUCAUACCUUCUCUUUAAUCCACUGUGAAAACCUUUUUGUAUGAUACUUCCAUAAGAUGGUUUCAUUUUUUGCACAUCUUACAUCCGAAUUUUGAAGUUCUUCUAAAUGCAUCCUGUAUAUUGAUUAAGUUAGUGUGAGAGAAGAUAAAAACACAUGUACCAAUCUUUGGAGUUUUAACUUACUGAACAUAAGGGUCGAUCACUGCAGUAUUCAUGAGGAUAUACCGGUGAGCAAAAUCUCUCUCUUUGUCAGUAAGACUCACUUCUGUUGCUUUAUGCAGCGUUCGGCCUACAAGAACAUUCUGAGUCGUCUCAACAUCUUCGUUUCGUGUCAUUGCUUCUUCAACUGGAACAGAUUUCUGCAGGAACUCCAUACAAAAUGCAAGGCAUUCACCAGCCAAAUAACCCUCGGCCAUACAAGCUUCUGGUCUUGCAAAAUUCUUGACAAAAGCUUUUAGUGUCUUCAUAUACCUACGAAUGAAAAUAUAAGAUAUCGUCAGUACCAUAUACAUAUAGUAGCAGUGAUUUUUGUUGCUAGAUGCAGUGGAAGAUUACCUCUCAAAGGGAUACAUCCACCUGAAGUGUACAGGGCCACCCAAGCGUGCUUCUCUUGCUAGAUGGAGUGGAAGAUGAAACAUGAUAUCAAACAGAGAUGGAGGAAAGUAUCUCUCUAGCUGACACAUUGUCUCCACAAUUUCUUCUUCUAGUUUAAUAAUCUUCUCUGGAUCAAUGAUGCGUUGACACAGUCUGUUGAAGUAAUUGCAUAUCCAAGUCACUGCAAGACGAGGACCUCGUGGAAGUAGACCUCUCAACGCAACCGGUAACAGAUUCUGCAUUACAACAUGAUGGUCAUGUGACUUCAUGCCGCCAAUAGAGGGAGGAUCCAGUGAGACACAGUUGGAGAUAUUGGCACAGUAACCAUCAGGGCCUCUGAAGUUGGAUAACCUUCUGCAAAAUUUCUUUUUUUCUUCCUUAGAAAGCCAAUACGCAGCUGGAGGCAAAUAAGUCUUCUUUCCCCUAACUUCAGUAUGCAAGUUGCUUCUAAUACCCAUGUCUUCUAAAUCUUUUCUUGCUUUGAGGCCAUCCUUUGAUUUCCUACUAUGCAUCAGAAUAGAUAGCAAUGCAUCAGAGACAUUUUUCUCCACGUGCAUAACAUCUAUGUUAUGCCUAACAGGCAUAUCCUGCCAUAUAUUUUACAAGUCUGUAUGUGAACAAUUAUUCUACUUAAAAACGAGAAGUAAAAUGUUGAAAGAAAAACAUACCUUCCAAUAAGGUAAGUCAAAGAAAAUUGAUUUUUUCUUCCACCGCCAGAGAUCAUCAUCUUCUUUGUACUCGUCAGCUGAAACAACAUCAUCCUCAUCUCCUGUUGUCCUUUUUCGCUUACUCUUCUUACUUAACUUUUUUCCCAAAGUCGUUUUUAAAAUCCCUAAGACUAUCACAAAUUUCAGCACCACUCUGAAUCCUAUUUGCAGUACCAAGCUCCACCGUGUUGUCAAACCAUCUUUUCCUUCUUCUAUAAGGAUGAUUAGGCAUGAGACGCUUCAUGUUCCCCAUGUAAACGUGUUUGCGACUAAACUUUAGCCACCUAUGCGGUGUAUCCUUGCCACAGACAUUACAGGCUUGCUUCCCCUUCACUUUACAGCCAGCUAAUGUACCUAAACCAUGAUAGUCGGUGAUACUCCACAUCAACAUAGCUCUAAGAUUGAAAAUCUCCUUUUUAAACGAAUCAUACACUGCCAUACCUUCUGUCCACAAACUCUUCAGGUCCUCUAUCAGUGGCUGGAGAUAGACGUCAAUGUUGUUGCUUGGUGCGGUUAGGCUAGGUAUCAACAUUGUCAACAUAAUGUUCUCGGAUUUCAUGCACUGAGUCGGACCCAUGUUGUAGUUGACUAAGAGAACAGGCCAUGUGCUAUACUUGGUGUUCUGGAUGGAGAACGGAUUCAUGCCAUCAGUAGAGAUACCUAGUCUUAGGUUUCUUGCUUCAGCAGCAAACUCCGGCCAUUUGCUGUUAGUCUGACCCCAAGUCACGGAAUCCACUGGAUGUCGCAUAGUUCCAUCGGUAGAAGCAUUUGAGGAAUGCCAACACAAGUCCUCCGCCAAACGCUUUGAUCUAAACAUUCUUCUGAACCUGUCUUUUAUCGGAAAAUACCAAAGCACCUUAGCCGGAAUCCCUUUCUUCUCUUCACCAGUAUGCUUAUCCUUCUCCCAUCUUGAUUCACUGCAUCUUGGACAGCUGACCGAAUCCUCAUACUUCUUCCUGUACAAGAUACAGUCGUUCUUGCAGGCGUGGAUGACAUCAUACCCAAACCCAAACUGUUUCAAAAAUUUCUUAACCUCAUCUGUAGACUUAGGUAGCACAUUCUCCUUCGGAAGCAUGUCAUGAAUUAACGCCAAUAACUGAUCAAAAUAGCUCUCAGACAUCCCACUUUUGACCUUAAUCCUGUAGAGUCCCAUGAUCGCAGCAACCUUUGUGUAUUUAGCACACUGAGAGUACAACGGAGUUUCUGCAUCCUCCAAUUUUUUUCUGAACUCAGCUUCUUCUGGUCUGUCAAUACCCGCAAACGCCUCUGCACUCUCCUGCUGAGCUGACUGAUGGUCUUCACUUGCCAUGAAAGCUGUUCUAACCAACUCAUACGCCUCAUUCUCAGACGAGUUGAUAUCACAUGGCUUAUCAGGCCUUAUAUCUCCGUGUUUAGACCAGAAUUUACAAAUCUUGUACUUCGGAUCCAUCCCUCUAAUCACAAGAUGCUCGAAAACUGUUUCACUAGACUGAUGGCAGACAUUGCGGCAAUCAACACAAGGGCAGAACAUUUCAGCUGGAACACCUAAACGGCUCGAUUAAGAAGACACAAAGUCACUGGCUCCUUUCUCAUACUCAAGGCUAUUCCUGUCGAGUUACCACAAGUGAGAGAUAAACAGUUUAGCAUAAUGAGAUAUAAGAAACGAGAAAUUAAAAGAGUGUGAAGUGAAGUUAAUACCUUGGUAACCAAACCCAAGAUUUAUCCAUGUUUCAGCUCCAAACCAAGUUUACAUACAAGUGAUUAACUUUAUCAACCCACAAAAAACAAAACAGAACGAGAGUUCUUAAAUGGAAUUGUUUUGUUACUAAUUUUACCUGAUAGAUUUCUUGAACUUUGAUUUGACCUAGCUACAAAAGAAGACAACGGUGUUAAUAAACCCAGAAAAUUAUAAUCUUCAUCGAGAAACCUAAAGAGCACAAAAACGAUACCUUAAUCGAAAACUGUGGAAUGAAAUCUCCCUGCAACAGAGAGCACAAAAACGAAUCAAUUAAACAUGCAAUUAAAUCACUACUAUGAAAGAGAUAAACGGUUAACAAUCAGAAUUGGAGACAAUGUGAGAAAACCCGAGUUCACCUUCGACUGAUUGGAGAUGGAUUUCGAUCAGAGGGGACGUGAUUUUGCCGAUUCUGGAUGAGAUAAGUAAAGAGUUUGAUAAUUGAGAGUGAGAUUUGAUGUGAGCUAGAUUCAGAGAAAUGAGAGGUUUUGGUUUCUGAUUAUCGAUCGAAUGGAGGAAAUGGGGGAGACACAAACGAGAGAUGGGAGAACCCUAAUUUUUGGGGGUUUCUAUUUUUUUAUUUGGAGCUUAAUUGAUUUUAGGAGCUAAAAAUUUUCUAAGUGUCGCGGGCAUUACCGCGCUAACUAAAGAUAACAGUUUUUAUGUUUCUUUGCUAUAAUACAUAAGCGUCUCCUUCAAAACCCACUACAAGAAAACAGCGUAAUUCUGAUAGACAUUCUGACGGAAAAUGAGAUCCUCGGAAUAUUCUGACGAAUUUCCGAGGAAAACCAAAAUUUGGGUUUCCUCGGCAUUUCCUCGAAAUAUACCGAUGAAAUACCGAGGAAAUAAUAUUUCUCGGAAAACACCGACGAAUAUCCGAGGAUAUAUUAUAGCCGCUACAGAGCCCUUGGGGGAUUUUAAAAAUUCCGAGGAAAUUCCGAGGGAUAAUAGGAUUUAGGUUUUUCCUCGGAAUUUCCUCGGAAUAUUCCGAGACUUUUCCGAGGAAGUAGGGUUUAUAAAACAAAAACAACGUUUUGCGGUUUGAAUAACACUUAUAUAACCUUUAUUAAGUAUCUUAGACUGAUUAUGAAGUCAAAAAAUUGUUUCUUACCCUAUAAUAAACACUUUUCCGAUUGUAUGAACGAAAUCCCCACAACAUAAGAGAAACACUUAUACACUUUAAUGAACGGUAAAGGGAAUACUUACAAUUCGUUUUGAAAUUUUGUUAUUUCAUGGUUUAUGAUCAUCUAUACAAAGAUUCAUCAAUGGUAUGCAUUGCAUUUGUAUAAGAAAUGAUAUAGGGCAAAAAAAAUUGAUGUUUUGAAACCCCAAACAUGUGUUCCUCGGAAUUUCCUCGGAAUAUUCCGAGGCUUUUCCGAGGAAGUAGGGUUUUUAAACCGAAAACAACGUUUUGCGGUUUGAAUAACACUUAUAUAACCCUUAUUAAGUGUCUUAGACUGAUUAUGAAGUCAAAAAUUUGUUUUUUACCCUAUAGUAAACACUUUUCCGAUUGUAUGAACGAAAUCCCCAUAACAUAAGAGAAACACUUAUACACUUUAAUGAACGGUAAAGGGAAUACUUAUAAUUCGUUUUGAAAUUUUGUUAUUUCAUAGUUUAUGAUCAUCUAUACAAAGAUUCAUCAAUGGUAUGCAUUGCAUUUGUAUAAGAAAUGAUAUAGGGCAAAAAAAUUUGAUGUUUUGAAACCCCAAACAUGUGUUCCUCGGAAUUUCCUCGGAAUAUUCCGAGGAAAUUCCGAUGGAUAUUUAAGUGGCCGUCGGAAUUUCCUCAGAAUAUUUUCAUUUAACCGGGCAAACAAGCCGCCAAAUAUUUCGCGAAAAUUGAAAUUGAAAAUACCGAGGAAAUUCCGACGGAUAGUUUCCGUCGGACCCUAGGUUUUAUAGAAACGAAACACUUCUUCUUCCCCAUUUCUCUCUUCCUCCUCCGGUGAUCUCUCUCUUCUUCCGGCGAUUUCCCCCUUCUCUCGCGACGAUCUCUCCGGCGAAUCCUCUCUAUUCCUACACAAAUCAUGUAAGGACCCUAUCCCACUCUCUUAGGUUCUAUUUGUUAGGUUUUUAAGUAGAUUUGAUGAUUUUAGAAGUUUUUUGUUAGAUUUUUGUUAGGGUGAUUGGUUAGGAUUGUGAUUUGGUUGUGUAAUAGGUUUAGAAUUGUGAUUUGGUUGGAUAAUUUGUUGUGUUGAAUUGAUUUAGAACUUUUUAUAAAUUUUUUAUUAUUUUUGUAUUUAUAAAAUCGAUUUUGGAUUUUACAAAACGUUUUUUGUAUAUAAAUUCGAUUUGUGGAUUUAUAAAAGAUGAUUUCAUAUUUAUAAAAAUAUUUAUAUUUAUUAAAACUAAUUUUGUAUUUAUAAAACAUUUUUUUGAUUUAUAAACACUAUUUUAUUAUUUUUUGUAUUUAUAAAAACUAUUUUUAAAUAUACAAAACGUUUUUUGUAUAUAAAUUCGAUUUUUGGAUUUAUAAACGAUGAUUUCAUAUUUAUAAAAAUAUUUGUAUUUAUUAAAACUAAUUUUGUAUUUAUAAAACAUUUUUUUUGAUUUAUAAACAUUAUUUUAUUAUUUUUUGUAUUUAUAAAAACUAUUUUGUAUUUAUAAAAAGAUGAUUUCAUAUCUAUAAAAAUAUUUAUAUUUAUAAAACUAAUUUUGUAUUUAUAAAACAUUUUUUUGAUUUAUAAACAAUAUUUUAUUAUUUUUUGUAUUUAUAAAAAUUAUUUUGUAUUUAUAAAACAUUUUUUUGAUUUAUAAACACUAUUUUAUUAUUUUUUGUAUUUAUAAAAACUAUUUUGUAUUUAUAGAAAGAUGAUUUCAUAUUUAUAAAAAUAUUUAUAUUUAUAAAAUUAAUUUUGUAUUUAUAAAAUGUUUUUUUGAUUUAUAAACACUAUUUUAUUAUUUUUGUAUUUAUGAAAACUAUUUUUAAAUAUACAAAACGUUUUUUGUAUAUAAAUUUGAUUUUUGUAUUUAUAAAAACUAUUUUUAAAUAUGUUUUUCAAUUAAUAUUUAUUAAAACUAUUUUUAAAUAUGUUUUCUAUUUCAAUUAUAAUUUUAUAUUUUCGAAUUUCAAUUUUAAAAAAUAAAUAUAUAAUUUUUUUUUUAAUUUUGGAAAUAUUCCGAGGAAGUGUAUUCCUCGGGAUAUUCCGACGACAACUUCCUCGGAAAUGCUCCCUCGGUAUAUUCCGAGGACCUGUCCGACGAACUGGUGGUCCUCGCAGUUUCCUCAGAAAUUCAUUUCCUCGGAAUUCCGUCGGAAAUUUCCGAGGGAUUUCCGAGGAAAAAUGAAUUUCCGAGGAGUUAUUUCCGAGGACAUGUUUCGUCGGUAUGUCGUCGGAAUAACGUUAUUCCGAGGACAUACCGACGAUUUUUUCUCUCAGUAUACCGCUGUUUUCUUGUAGUGACCGUACGUUUAUUUUAAUUUUUUUAAGUCGACAUUCGAACAUAGCGUCUCGUAAAAGGCAAACGCUAUGUUUAAAACACGGGUAUCAAAAACAUAGCAUAAUCGUAAAAAACGCUAUUCUGGUAUGCUAUUAAAAUCCAUUAUUCUUGCAGUGUUUUAGUCUUUAAUUUCGCUAGGAUGGAUUUUGACCCAACAGUAUAUAUAGAAAUAGGGAAUAUUUAGCAUUGAUGUGAGGCGUAUGUUAUGUCCUUAACAGUCAUUUCCAACUAGUUAAAGGAGUUGUAUAUGAAUUUCUUGUAGCCUUCGUGGAAACGUUAUUAAGUUUUACAGUGUGUGUUAUCUCCUUUUCUAGAAUUUGUAAAAAUCUGAUAAUUUGGAGUCUUGGACCAUUUACUCUAUGAACAAUCAAAGAAGACAACCGUUCAUGUGAGCUUUAACUCCUACUCUAUUUCUCCGUUUCUUCCCUCACAUGUCUAACCCAAACUAAUUGCCGGCAAAACGAGAUUGUAAUGCACCCACAUGUAAUGCUGUUUUUGUUUUCUCUUUUCUAUUUUCUUGUACAACUCAACGUUGUUCCGCGUUUCUGGGAGAGAGAGAGCUUGAUAUAAAUAUGUAGUUACAAUAUUUAAUUUCAUAUUUAAUUUGAUAUGAUAUUUAAAAUUAAUUAUUUAAAAUUAAAUAUUUAAAAUUAAAAAAAUCAUCUUUAAUACUCAAUCAUAUAUAAAUAAAUAUUAAAUUUUUUAUGCUCUCUUUUUAAAAUUUUAAAUUUUUUUUAGGUAUAUCCGAACCAAACUAAUAUAACCCGAGUAUGAACGACAUCGAGUUAUUUUAUGGGUUUAAAGAAGUAAUACAAAUUAGCACUGAAACUGUUGGGGUAUAUCCGAACUCAGUCCGUACGAAGAAGAAUUAGGAUGUGCAAUAAAUUAAAACCAAAAUCCAAAAUAUCUAAUCCGAGCACCAAUGGGUACCCAAACGUCCAUGCUUAGAUACAAAUCUCGGGUGAUUUUAGCUUUUGAUUUCGCUAGGAACGAUUUUGACCCAACAGUAUAUAUAGAAGUUAGGAAUAUUUAGCAUUGAUGCGAGGCGUAUCUUGUGUCCUUGACAGUCAUUUCUGACUAGUUAAAGGAGUUGUACAUGAACUUCUUGUAGCCUUCGUGGAAACGUUAUUAAGUUGUACAGUGUACCCUACAGUAUGUGUUAUCUCCUUUUCUAGAAUUUAUAAAAAUCUGAUAAUUUGGAGUCUUGGACCAUUUACUCGAUGAACAAUCAUAGAUGACAACCGUUCAUGUGAGCUUUAACUACUACUCUAUUUCUCCGUUUCUUCCCUCACAUGUCUAACCCAAACUAAUUGCCGGCAAAACGAGAUUGUAUUUUAUUAAAAACUAUAUUAUCUUACAUCACUUAUUAAAAAACUUAUAAAUGCUGGCAAGUUGCAGCCGAACUCGAUGAAUCUCUUUAUAUUUAAUUACAUUUGUCACCCACAUGUAAUGCUGUUUUUGUUUUCUAUUUUCUUGUACAACUCAACCUUGUUCCGCGUUUCUGGGCGAAUGAUUAACGAGCAUGACUAGCUCGUGCAAAAAAAAAUCUUAAUUAGUUUGGAUCCAGGAUACUACCGUGUUUGUUUAAUAAUAUUUCUUACGUUCUAUAAUGAUAGUAACUUUGAAAAUUUUAUUUAUUUAAAAAAUAAUAAUUAUAUAUUUAAUGUAUAUUAUGUUUGUUGUCAUGUUAUUAAUAAAAAGCAAUCAUUUUAUACGAUUUCUAAUAAAUAGAGUAUAUUAUAUAUUUUUAGAUUACAAACCUCACAAUUGAUAUACAGUCACGCGGAGAAAGAGAACUAUGCCUGAUUUCGUGUGAAAUUAUCACAUCUAGAAAUUCAUUUGCUACAUAAUUACCAUGGCUCGGAAAAAACCAGAAUCCGUCCGAUUCGUAAAAGUAGUACCAAACUUGAAUCGAAACUAGUUAAAUAUCCGAACUAGUUCAAAAUUUUACUCUAAAGAACUGGAGCCGAAUCUGACCCGAACCAAAAUAUUUUGAGUAUCUGAAUAGUUCCGAUCAGAUUUAUAUACUUAAACAUAUUAGGAGAAUUUGUCAAAAAUGACCUAAAAUUUGAUUUUAAAUGCAAAAAUAUACUCCAACUUCAAUUAAAUACAAAAGUAAUCCAAAAGGCUAGUGAAAUUACGAUCAACCCCUUAUAAUAAAACAAAAAUCAGAAUGAAGUUUUACGAAUAUAACCCCUACAAGUCUUAUGUGGUUUUGUAAUUUUUAUGCGAGAAGACUUCCAUGAAGUCUUUUCAUGUAGUAGAUAUUAAAAAUAAUUUAUAAACUUUAUAAAAAAUACUUUUAUGAGGGAAAAAUUGAAAUCUUGUCAUUAUAAACAUUUGUAAAUGAUAUAAACUAAGAUCUAGUAAAAUUGAAUUGUAUUCAACAUAGAUGAGUGAUAUAAACUAAGAUCUAGUAAAAUUGAAUUGUAUUCAACAUAUAUAAGUGAAUGUAGUGAGUCAUGGUAUUCUUUGGUUUAGGGUCUGAUAACAUAUGUUGUAGUAUUGUUUGUAAUUUUAGGUUUAAUUAGAUUUUGGAAGCUUAACAUUUUUUUUUCUUCUGCAAAAAUUAGAAUUUGACAUAUAUAUGUUUAGUUUUUUUUAUAUUAAACACUUUUUAUGUUGAUUUUGAGUUUAAUGAAUUGUUUGUUUCUAUUUAGAUAGUUAUUUGUGUAAACGCGGAAAUGAAAUAAAAAUGGUUUUUGUGUGUACGAAAUAAGAAUAUGAAGAUGUAGAUGUUGAUUUUAGGUGCAUUUUGAACUUGAAAUUAAUUGUUCAUUGUGGAUGGUGUAUUGAUGAUAAUGAAAAUCUGUAAAUAAAAGAGAAAUAUGUGGAUGAUUAAGUAAAACAAGCAUUUUCAAUUAAAAAAAAAAGAUAUUUACGUGAAUAAUCAAAACUUUUGGGGUGAAUAAGGCAAAUGAAAGUUCUAAAACAUUCAUGGGUUAGUUUUGCAUUUGACUCUGAGUUUUGGGUCAUUUUUGCAAAAUCCCAAUAAUAUCCAAAAAUUUAUCCAAAAUAUAUAAGAUAUUUUGAAGUUGUCCAAAAUACUUGAAAAUAUCAAAUAAUCAAAAGUAAAUAUUUUAAACAACUAAACAAUAUUCAAAACACCAAAAAAUACUUGAAAUAUCUACUGAUUUUACAUCCAAAUAUUCAACCCAAACCAAUUUUUACGUUAACUUUAGGUAUUUUGGCAUACAUUAUUCAAAUUUAUAUAUUCUCUAUUAUUUUUAUUUUAAAUUUUUAGAAAUUUAAAGUAUAUAUAAACUUAAAUUUUUUUAAAAAAAAUUAAACGGGUUAUUCGAAUCCAAACCGAACCCGCAAUGAUUCAAACAAAACCAAAAUUUAUAAAUAUCUGAAUAGGACUAAAAUACUUAACCCCGAAAUCUCAAAACCCGAAAUCCGAAUAGACCCGAAGUCAAACGGGUGCCCGGAUGCUUAUCCCUAUUUACUUUGUGAAUUUUCUCCUGAUAUGUUUAUUCCUCUAAUUCAUCCUUGAUUUCAAAUACAUCCCUCCAUAUUUUGGUCAAACAAACUUGCAAAUUUUAAUGUAAUCCUAUUUUAAUAGAAAAAGUCAACGCUUAUGAACAUCCAGAGUAUAUCUAUAUUUUAAAAUUUCCUUCACGUAUACCUCACCACAUACUUUUAAUACAAUAUAACGAACGAUAAGUCGGCAUUUUCUUACAGCCAAUAACUUCUCACGUAUAAAUCAAAAUCACAUGUCUUUGCAAUAAACUACCAUAUAUUAUACACCUAGCGUAACCGAGGGAAUAACGAAAUGAAAUGGUAACGCCAUUCCACGAGAGCAGAAUAUUGAGGAAUCCCAAGUCAUAUGUUUAGAUAAUAUAUGUAGGAUGGAUGGUUCUCGAACUUCCACAAUACAGAUCAGUGGUUGUCGUUGGGUUUGGAUGGCUAGUUUGGAAAAAAAUCAACUUAUAAGGACACGGAACUUAAGAUAGUGAGAGACUUCUUUGCAUUCAAAAAUAGAAAUACUGUGAUGGGCAAUGGAGAGUAUGUUUCAACAUUUGUCAUGCCAGAGCUUCGGGACAGAUUGCAAUAUAUGAUCGCGAUAAUAAAGGAGCUUUACGCUUGGCAAAGUUUUGCAACCGAACUGGAGACGAUAAAGACGCUGCUGAUAUGUUUUCCGGACUCCAAGAUAUCUCAUAUCUCGAGAGUGCAAAAUAGAAUUUCUGACUCUUUAGCUAAGACUGCAAGAUCUUUUUAUCGUGAGAUUUGUUAUAUUGGUUGUUUUAUUCUGAUCUGGUUACCCAGACCACCUCAAGUUUGAGUAAUAGAAUACCUGUUUGUUGUUAAAAAAAAGAGGCAACAAGGAGAACAUCACUUUCCCAUGGUCCUCAUCGAUGGGUAAGAACGGUAACCGAUUCUUGGGGAUUCAAAAUACUUACUAGUGGAUUUUGUCGGGUUUAGUGGGUGAAAAAAUCUAGGAAUGUAUCAGAUAAAUUGAGAAAUUUUGUUCGAAUCGGGCUUGUAAUCAAAUAAAAUUUUCCGUUAAUCAGGCUAACUAGGGUGUCUGAUUUCAGGAGACAGAAAUAGAAACAGAAGCUGAAGUUAUAGCUCCGAUGAGCAACAGUGGAAGCAGGGGAAGUUGCGGCAAGAUCUUUCUAGAUCGAUAACAUGAUAAUUUUUUUGGGGUUUGAUAAAUUUUAGUAUUGCCUUUUCUGUGAGUGAUAUCUCGGUCUCAUUAGGGAGCCAACAUCUUUUCGACAAUAAGCUUUCUGCGAGCUUGUCUUGGUCGCUUUUCUUCUGGAAAAGAGCCAUGACAAGAGUUUUGAUUUGAGUCCUGCAGCGUUUGCGUUGGCCGUAGGAGUGGUCGCUGCUGGUGUUGUUUCACCAAUAUUAUUGUUGUUGUUGAUAGCGUCAACACGAGCUGCGUUUUCGUUUUCCAUACUUCAUCAUAUAUUUUGGACCAACAAUUUUAAGGCCCCUAUUAAGAAUAAUCCCCCUCUCCCUCUAGUGCCAAAAUGUGGGAGUCAAAAUUCGCACAAUCAAAGUUAUUAUGAACAAAGCAAAUCUUUCACGGGGGUUCGGAUUUUUCGCAGAGCCAAUGACAAGUAAUCAAAAAGAUGCGGAAAAGAAAUAAAAUAAUAUGAAAAGUGAACUUAAAACAAAAUACUUUUAUUACCAAUUUUUGUAUGAGCUUUUCAGGGAUAAAAAUCGUACAUAACGUUUGUUUUGAAGGGAGAUUCCAACGGAAAUCAAAUAACACAUGCAGGAAACCCUAUCUUAGUUCCUAAAGUAACCUCUUAUGUCAAGAAAACCUAUGUGUGUUGCAACUCGUUUACCAAAAGACAAAAAAUAAAGCCUGAGGUUUUUAAUUCCGGAGAGUUUCAAAAGCUAAGUUUGUUCUCCCUUUAUUCUCUCUACCAGUUUUGUUUAUAUACAAUUCCAAGGUCGGACAUGUUGCCAUUUUUCCAGAGAUCCAUGUCUUAUGUUUUCCGAUUUAAUUUUCCUUAUUUGUCGAGAUCUGAGUUUAUCCUUUUUUGAAAACUUCCAUUAUCCCGUCUUCCUCCUUCUUUCUAUCCAAGAAAAGAAAACCGUAAUUGAGAUUGAGAUACUUUACACUUUAAGUCUAAAGUCGGCUGUAUCGUGUUUUGGGCUGUUUUGAACUGUUUUACGACAUGUGUUUUACCACUUUUCUCGGAAAAUCAUGAAUUCACACCAAGUUGCGAUUUUGGGUGCCAUUGGUCGGAAACAUAUUGGUGUUUAAGUUAAUCGUUUCCAACUUAAUGUUUCACAAAGGUUUACGGAAAAUAAAGUAUUCCUUGUAUUUUCGCAAAAUCUCAACGGCUACAUUAAUUGCGACGAAACAAAGAACGUUUCAGAAAAUAUUAGAGUGAGAACAAGAUGGAGAGAGGAGUGGGCGAUGAUGAGGCAUACUAGCGAUUUCCUGCAAUGAUCAGGAGCUUUGGGAAAUGUGCUAGAGAAAAGGGCUAUGUGCUUGUGUCAUGGCGAUGUGGUGUGUGAUGGGGAGAUAAUGGCGAUAUAAGGUGCAAGGAGGAGGCAAUUACGAUCCGGAGAAGAUAUAGAGAGGUAAGGGCGAUGAGGAAGAAUAUAGAGGGCAAUGAGGAAGAGAGAGGGAGAGAUAUAGGCAACAAGGAAGGAGAGAGAGGAGAGAGAAGGCAAUGAGGAGGAGGAGAUAGAGAGAGAUAAGGGCGAUUUGGCCUUGAUGUGCCUUGUGGUGUGUCUAUCGUUCUUCAUUGAUGUUGUAGUAUGCUUUCGGAAUUGUUUUGCUUGUUUUAUGAUUUUUUUCAUAAACUUUCUAAAGUUUGUUACGGAAGAAUAUUUCGUGAAACUUGUUUUGCUUGUUUUACGAAAGUUUUUCCUUAGAAAUUUCUCGAAAUUAGCGUUGCGGAAUAUUGUUUCGUAAAACUUGUUUUGCUUGUUUUAGGAAAGUUUUUCCUUAGAAACAUCCUGAAGAUUUUUUUUACAGAAAUUUGUUUCGUAAAGCUGUGAUGUUUCUUGUAAAAAACAUUCCAAAAGAAUGCUUUUCUGGAAAAAUUCUUGUUUGAGCAGAAAUCUCUUUAUUUUCUUCCCGGGGAAAGAAAUGUACGGAGUUUGUUUUACAUAUCUUUGUUCAUGUUUGCACGGGGUAUGUGGAAUUGCUGUCUCAACAUUUACGAUUCAUUCUUGUAAAUAAGACGAUUCUCGAGUUAUUUUAGCUAUUGAUUUCGAUAGGACCGAUUAUGACCCAACAGUAUAUAUACGAGUAGAUGAGAUCUUUAGCUUUGAUGUGAGACAUAUCAUGUGUCCUUAACAUUCAUUUCCGACUAGUUAAAGGAUUUGUAUAUGAACUUCUUGUAGCCUUCGUGGAAACGUUAUUAAGUUGUAUAGUGAACCUUAUAGUAUAUGUUAUCUCCCUUUUUAGAAUUUAUAACAAUCUGAUAAUUUUAGAAACACUAAGACUGGAAGAUGUUUUCAUUGAGCACUUUGCUACAUCGGUUGUUUUAUUCCGGUCUGGUUACCUAGGCUACCUCAAGUUUGAGUAGUAGAAUAGCCGUUCAUUGUAAAAAAAAAUCUGAUAAUUUGGAAUCUUGGACCAUUUACUCGAUGAAUGGGUGGUUAAAGUGAGCUUCAACUACUGCUCUCUUUCUCCAUUUCUUCACUCACAUGUCUAACCCAAAGUUUGAAAACCUUUUUACAAAAAAAAAAUGUAUAACCCAAAGUAAUUACCGGCAAAACGAGAUUGUAUCUAAUCUAUUAAAAGUGAAGUACAAAUAAAAAUUAACCUUAAUUUUUUCUAAUAUUUACAUUUGAAUGCCACUGGCCUUAAAUAAUUUUAAGAAAUAAUUUUUUUUAAUAUAUAUUAUGUUUGUUGUCAUGUUAUUAAUAAAAAUCAAUUAUUUUAUACUAUUUUAUAAUAAAUAUAGUAUAUUAUAAUUUGGUAGCUUAUUAAUAAAAUUUGAUUAUUUGGUACUAUUUUCUAAUAAAUAUACUAUAUUAUAAUUUGGUGGACUAUAGACCUCCCAAAUUAUUUACGGUCACACGUGGAAAAAGAGAAUUAUGUAUGUUUUCAUGAGAGAUUAUCAUAUCUAAAAAUUAUUUUGUUACAUAAUUAUUUGGGGAAUUUGCAAAAUAUAGCCUAUAUAUUCAUGUGACACAUAAAAUUAUACUUCCUAUUCAAUCAAAUGCAAAAUUAACAUACAAUGAUAGAAAAAUUGCUAUUUACUCAUUAUGAUCAAACAAAAAACUAGAAAAUUGUAUGAUUCUAUCUUUCAAAAGUUAACUUUUCAUAGAUAGAAAUCUGUAUGGUGUAUACCUCGUAAGAAGUCUACUCCGUAGAAUCAUUCUGAAGUUUAUAUCAUAAUUUAAACUAAUAAUUUAAUUUUAAAAUGUGUAAAAAUAUUUUCUGUGAAUUUUUUUUAUAAAUAUCAACAUAAAAAACUAAUACGAGGUAUAUAAAUUAACAUUUAAUAUAACUGAAAAAAUUAAUAUAUAUAUAUAUAUAUAUAUAUAUAUAUUAAUUUGCUAACCAUGUAUUGGACAAUACUUAUGGUUUAGUUACAAAAGGUUCUACCAUGUAAGGUCUCUUUGGGUUAGAUUCUUAGGGUUAUAUUUUAGAUUUAGAUUGUUUUUAGCUUUAUUGACGUAAAUUUACAUACCAGUGUUGAGUAGUCUUUUUUUUUUUUUUGACAGCAAGAAAUUUACAGACUCAUAUUGACUCUGUAAACCAUAUUGGUAACUCCGCAUCCAUGUGAACGACAAAGGACAAUUGCUUUCUUGCACUACGUGCUAAGCUAUCUGCCCGAAGAUUCGCUGUCCGAGGUACAUGGACGAUGUCUGAGUUGAGGAAGCUUCAUUUGAGGAGCUUGAUAUCUUCCAAAUAGCUUUCAAAUGCUGGUCAUUCUUCUGGUUCCGAAACCAUCUUCACCAAUUGAGAACAAUCUGUUGCAAAAGUAACCUGGAACUGUCUUAAAUUCUUCAUGCAUUCCAUUGCCCAAAUCAAAGCCUCUACCUCCGAAUGAAGGGGAAAGAGGCAUACCCUUAAAUUCCUUGCCCCCAGUAGACCAUCAAAUCCCGGUAAAGUACUAUACCAGCCUUGCCCUGACAUUAAAUCCUUAUCCUUCCAUGAGCCAUCAAUAAAACACCAUCGACCUGGUGUCUCUAAGGGAGGAAUGGUUUGUACCGAGAACCCCCUCGUUGGUUCAUUUCCUACAUGUGCUUCUGCCCAGAGUGAUGAUUCCACUUCAGCUAAUUUUAGAGUGUCACGCGGAUCAAUAUCCAAAUUAUUAAAAUAUAAUUUAUAAGAUAAAAUAUAGACUACUCAAAAUAUAAAACUCUAUGUGUUUACCUUACUACUAUUUUAUCUUAUAAAUUAUAUUUUCUAUUUCUUUUCAGAUUUAAACUUAUUUUCAUGUUUUUAAUAUACAUAUUUUCAGAUUAAAUAUUAUCCAAUAAAGUAGACUUCAAAUGAGGUCUAUUCAAAUAUUUUUUAAUUUUUUUUUCAUAUAUUAUCCUUAUAAUUUUAUCUUAUUUUGCAAGUACUAUCUUCUAAAUUUUUCAAUUUAUCUGCUCAAAAAUGUAAAAUUUACAUCUAUCAAUUUUAAAUCUAUAUUUUGUGUUUAUAUUGAACUAAAUUUAUAGAUUAAAACUAUAUGUUUUUUUUGCUACUAUUUUAGCUUAAAAGAUAUUUUGAAAUUUUUUAAAAGAAACUAUUUUCAAAUUUUAUAAAUAUACAUUUUUAGAUCUGAUUUUUUUUCCGUUAGUGUAGACUUCUUAGAUAUUAAAGCUAAUAGACUUUAAAUAAAGUCUAAUAAUCCAUAAAAGUUUAGUAGACUUGAUAAGAAGUUUACUGAAAUAUGAUUUAAAUUUUUAUCUUAUGUUUUUCUCAUAAUUUAAUCUUGUUUUGCAGGUACUCUUUUCCAAGACUUCAUUUUAGCCAUCAAAAUAAUGAAUAAUAAACAAACUCUAUAAUAUUUUUAUAAAUUUCUUUUAAUAAUUUAUCAUUAUAAAAUAUUCAUUUGUAAAUCAUUGUUUUGAUGCAUAAUCUGUAAACAUUAUAUUCAUUUUUAGUUGUGUUUCAUUUGUAUGAUAUUAUUAAUUUUUGUUAGCUAUCAAUUUUUUUCACAAGAUAUUCAAAUCAACCAAACAAUUAAAUCCACCAUAAGGUAAAACAAUAACUAGCACACAUGUGUAAGAAAAAAAUCUAUAUAAACUUCUCAAGAAGUUUCAUGAGUAAAAUUAAUCACAAAAACUUUCCAAUAUAUUUCAAGUGUAUACUUCAGACAAUAAAAAUACAGAAGCAGACUCCUAAGUAAUUAUACACUUAUUAGUUAAGAAACUAAUUAAGCAAGAAAUUUGUUAGUUCCAUAAUUGUAACACAUUUAAUUUUGAUAUUCAUUCAAGACCAUUAAGAUUCAUUAAUGUACAUUGUAAAACAAUAGAAUCAUGAAAAACAUGAUGAAUAAUAAUAGUCGACUUCAUAUGCAGUAUAAGUUUUUAAAUUUUUUUCAGUCUACAUUUUUUUUUUUUUUGAAAGAGGUUGGUUUUGCAAUGGAACAAGUUUGACCUUCUAGAGUAGAUUUAAAUGGACGUCUACGAAUGUGUUGACUUCAUAUGAAGUCUAUUCUCAAAUCCGAUGGGUUAGUCUUGUGUUUGACUAAAAUAAAAUUGUAGAAUUCAUAUGCAGUAUACAUUUUUUUAAGAUUAGUAGACUGCAUAUGAAGUCUACACUUUAAUUAAUUUUUGAUUAAUCUCUUAACAUUUUAGUCAAACACAAAAUUAAUCUUUUCAGAGACUCAAAAUUUUGGUCAAAUGCAAAACUGCCAUUUUGCAGACUUAGCCUACUUGAUGCAGAAUUCCGAUGAAGUCUCUUGUUAAAGUCAAAAGUUCGGUCAGUUUCAAAACUAACCUCUUUUAUGUAUAUUUUUUCGUAAGUCUACCGAUUUUUUUUCAAAGGUUAAGACGUAGACUUCGUUGCAAAAAAUAAUUUUGGUCAGUUGCAAAACUAACAUGUGCAUUGACAAGAAGACCACAUCGUAAGUUUACACAUAUGCGUAGACAUACAAAACAGUCUACUAUCGCGACAUAGAUUUGAAAAUUGACGAAAACUAUUUAAAUAGUUACAUUUUCUUGUGUAAAGCGUGUUUCCAACCUAUUCCGCCGUCCAAAAUCCAAAUAUGAGCAAAAAGAAACAGGUUUGACGAUUCUUUACUGAAGAAUCACGAAAAUAUGAAACUUGUGUUUGUGAAAAUGAAACUUAUGAGAGUUUUUAAGAUGAAAAUGGAAAGGAAAUGAAGAUUUGUUGGUGCUGAAUGAGAAAAAAAAGUAGAUAUAAAUUGAAUUCUUGCGCUUUAAAAGCUCAAAAAUGGUUGUUCAUCGUGGUUGAAAAAAAUUUGAAGAUUGUGGCAUUGUUGUAAAUAAAAAGAAACGUUUAGGAUGUUUUAGGUUUUUUGCCAUUUUUCGAAAUUAAAAUGAAGUUGAAUUAUAGUGGUAAUUUUGUAAAUAUUUCAAAAAAUUAAGGAGGGUAUGAAAUGUUCAUGGCUAAAUAGUAUUGACAAAAAAAGAGUUAGUUUUGUGUUUGACAUGAAAUUGUGAAUUAUUUGUUAAAAACUCCCUAAUUACUUUGUGAAUUUUUCCCCUAAUAUGUUUAUUUCUCUAGUUCAUCCUUGAUUUCAAAUACAUCCCUCCAUAUUUUGGUCAACGCUUAUUAACAGCCAAAGUAGAUGUAUAUUUUAAAAUUAUGGUUUCCUUCACGUAUACCUCACCUGACACAGACUUCUAAAUAAAAUAUAAUGAACGAUAAGUCAGCAUUUUAGUACACCCAAAAACUUCUCACUUAUAAACCAAAAUCACAUGUCUUUGCGAUAACCACUACCAUAUAAAUAUAAGUAUAUAACUGCGGUAUUUGAUUUCAAGAGACGGAAAGAGAAAUGGCGAUGGAAGCUGAAGUUAUAGCUCCUGUGAGCAAGGGCGGAAGCAGGGGAUGUUGCAAGUCAGGUCCCGGUUAUGCUACGCCACUGGCCGCCAUGUCCGGACCAUCGGAAAAGCUCAUCUACGUCACUGCCGUCUACAAUGGUACACUUUUGAUCGUAUCUGUGUUAGUUUGUUAUCUCUUUCUAAUGUUAUAGAGUCCAGAUCAAAUGUUUUGAAAGGUACUUUCAGACAGAAUCAUUACUUUUUUCUAACUUUGGUUCAAGAUUUGGUAGGGAAUAGACUCUCAAAGAUUCUAGAUAGAAAUUACAAUACCCCUGAGAUUCUCUGUUUUCAUUUUCCGCAUUAGAUCCGUUAACCAGAAGUUGGUAGUGAAAAUCUUUGUGUUGGUUGUAUAAUAUUCAUUUAGUUGACAAAACAUCCUGUCUCCUCUGAUUUAUUCAUUUCUAAUUUGGUUUCAAGGAACGGGACGAGAGAAGCCGGAUUACUUGGCAACGGUGGAUGUCGAUCCAAACUCACCAACGUAUUCAAGCGUCAUUCACAGACUGCCAAUGCCUUUUGUGGGGGAUGAGCUUCAUCAUUCUGGUUGGAACUCAUGCAGCUCUUGCCAUGGUGAUGCUUCUGCUGAUAGACGCUAUCUCGUGUUACCAUCCCUUGUGUAAGAAUCCUUCAUCCUGUACAUUUUUCAUAGUCAUAUCUCUAAUAUGUUUCUCUGUCUUGAUGAUGGGUUUUUUUUGCUGUUUCUGAAGAUCUGGUCGCAUCUAUGCGAUUGACACAAAGGCAGACCCGAGGGCACCGUCUUUGUAUAAGUAUGUUGAUCCUAAAGAGAUUGCUGAAAAGACUGGGUUGGCGUAUCCACACACAGCUCAUUGUCUUGCCUCUGGUGAAAUCAUGGUGUCCUGUCUUGGAGACGAAGAGGGAAACGCCAAGGGAAAUGGGUUUCUCCUCCUUGACUCUGAUUUCAACAUCAAGACUAGGUAUCUUAUUACAAAACUAAAUCAUCAUGCUUUAGUUUCCAAUCAGUUAUCAGUCAUAUAAAAAUUGUUGAUGAUUGUAACUCUUAAAAGUUAAGAAAAAAUGAAGUAAGGGAUAGACAAGGAGAGUGAACAUAUACAAUGCAGUAAAUGUUAGAAGCUUUUCAUUAAUGGACUUUGAUUUGUAUGGUUAGGUGGGAGAAAGAAGGACAUAGUCCCUUGUUUGGUUAUGAUUUCUGGUACCAACCGCGUCACAAGACAAUGAUCAGCACUUCUUGGGGAGCACCUAAAGCCUUCACCAAAGGUUUUGAUCUCCAAGACGUUGCUGAUGGCUUGUACGGAAGCCAUCUACAUGUUUAUACUUGGCCAGGAGGUGAAAUGAAACAAUUAAUUGACCUUGGAGAGACUGGUCUCUUACCUUUGGAGGUAACAUAACCAAACAUCUAACUUAAAUGUGAAUAUUUGAUCUGUCUUUUUUUUUGAAGAGAUAUAUACUUUUGUUGUACAGAUUAGAUACUUGCACGAUCCCUCUAAAGACACAGGAUUUGUUGGGGGUGCUUUAUCAAGUAAUAUGAUAAGAUUUUUCAAGAACAGUGAUGACACCUGGAGCCAUGAGGCAAGUGUAGCUUCGUAAUCUUCUUCAUUUAACCCUUUCUGUUCUCUAAUUUAUCUGCAAUUUGAUCUGUUUUUUAUUUAUUUUUGUAGGUGGUUAUAUAUGUUAAACCCCUCAAAGUAGAGAACUGGUUUCUGCCAGAAAUGCCAGGGCUUAUCACUGACUUCUUGAUCUCACUAGAUGACCGGUUCAUGUACUUUGUGAACUGGCUUCAUGGAGACAUUCGCCAGUACAACAUCGAAGACCCUAAGAACCCUGUCUUAACCGGACAGAUUUGGGUGGGAGGACUGCUACAGAAGGGCAGUCCUGUUAAGGCUGUUAGAGAAGAUGGUAGCACUUACCAGUUCGAUGUUCCUCAGAUCAAGGUAUGUUGUACCCGCGGAAAGAGCAUUUGAGUUUCAUUUUAUAUGAACUCUAUACAACCUCUUCUUUUAAAAUGUCGAUGUUUGCAGGGGAAAUCUCUAAGAGGAGGACCUCAGAUGAUCCAGUUGAGCCUCGAUGGAAAAAGAUUGUAUGCAACAAACUCGCUCUUCAGUGCGUGGGACCGUCAGUUUUACCCGGAACUCAUGGAUAAAGGAUCACACAUUAUUCAGAUUGAUGUUGAUACAGAGAAAGGU
Molecule: long non-coding RNA, 38977 nt
Filed under: Brassica rapa (field mustard)
Lineage: Eukaryota; Viridiplantae; Streptophyta; Magnoliopsida; Brassicales; Brassicaceae
Description: long non-coding RNA (BRAP_LNC002754)
Rfam family: Plant small nucleolar RNA R71 (bases 11793-11899)
Source: RNAcentral